UACGUAGGGUGCGAGCGUUAAUCGGAAUUACUGGGCGUAAAGCGUGCGUAGGCGGUUGGCAAAGUCAGCUGUGAAAGCCCCGGGCUUAACCUGGGAAUGGCGGUUGAAACUACUUUGCUGGAGUGUGGCAGAGGAAGGUGGAAUUCCACGUGUAGCGGUGAAAUGCGUAGAGAUGUGGAGGAACACCAAUGGCGAAGGCAGCCUUCUGGGCCAACACUGACGCUCAUGCACGAAAGCGUGGGGAGCAAACAGG
This 253-nucleotide ribosomal RNA is filed under the name uncultured bacterium. RNAcentral describes it as "partial 16S ribosomal RNA". It matches the Rfam family "Bacterial small subunit ribosomal RNA", at positions 524 to 776 of the family's 1533-position model. The record is from RNAcentral.